UACGUAGGGUGCGAGCGUUAAUCGGAAUUACUGGGCGUAAAGCGUGCGCAGGCGGCUUUUUAAGCCAGAUGUGAAAUCCCCGGGCUUAACCUGGGAACUGCAUUUGGAACUGGAAGGCUAGAGUGCGGCAGAGGGGGGUAGAAUUCCACGUGUAGCAGUGAAAUGCGUAGAGAUGUGGAGGAAUACCGAUGGCGAAGGCAGCCCCCUGGGUUGACACUGACGCUCAUGCACGAAAGCGUGGGGAGCAAACAGG
This 253-nucleotide ribosomal RNA is filed under the name uncultured bacterium. RNAcentral's name for it is "partial 16S ribosomal RNA". It matches the Rfam family "Bacterial small subunit ribosomal RNA", at positions 524 to 776 of the family's 1533-position model. The record is from RNAcentral.